CAAAUUAUUCUUAGGGAGUUUUUCAUUUACACUGAAGAAUAUUUCGUGCAAUUCGAUAUAGUUUGA
This 66-nucleotide transfer RNA is filed under the name Therea petiveriana. RNAcentral describes it as "tRNA-Val". The record is from RNAcentral. Lineage: Eukaryota; Metazoa; Arthropoda; Insecta; Blattodea; Corydiidae.